UGUCGUCAGCUCGUGUCGUGAGAUGUUGGGUUAAGUCCCGCAACGAGCGCAACCCUCAUCCUUAGUUACCAUCAGGUAAUGCUGGGGACUUUAAGGAAACUGCCAGUGAUAAACUGGAGGAAGGUGGGGAUGAUGUCAAGUCAUCAUGGCCCUUAUGGAGUGGGCUACACACNUGCUACAAUGGUGGCUACAAUGGGNUGCAAAGUCNNNAGGCUAAACUNAUCCCUUAAAAGCCAUCUCAGUUCGGAUUGUACUCUGCAACUCGAGUGCAUGAAGUUGGAAUCGCUAGUAAUCGUGGAUCAGCACGCCACGGUGAAUACGUUCUCGGGUCUUGUACACACUGCCCGUCACGCCAUGGGAAUUG
RNAcentral lists this ribosomal RNA (364 nucleotides) under Wolbachia pipientis. RNAcentral's name for it is "bacterial SSU rRNA". It matches the Rfam family "Bacterial small subunit ribosomal RNA", at positions 1050 to 1413 of the family's 1533-position model. Lineage: Bacteria; Pseudomonadati; Pseudomonadota; Alphaproteobacteria; Rickettsiales; Anaplasmataceae. The record is from RNAcentral.